GAUCCCGUAGCUCAGUUGGAUAGAGCGGCGGUUUCCUAAACCGCAGGCCACAGGUUCGAUUCCUGUCGGGGUCA
RNAcentral lists this transfer RNA (74 nucleotides) under Corallococcus aberystwythensis. Its description in RNAcentral is "Corallococcus sp. AB050A tRNA-Arg". It matches the Rfam family "tRNA". Rfam says of the family: Transfer RNA (tRNA) molecules are approximately 80 nucleotides in length. Their secondary structure includes four short double-helical elements and three loops (D, anti-codon, and T loops). RNAcentral also lists the same sequence under 7 other names. The record is from RNAcentral. Lineage: Bacteria; Pseudomonadati; Myxococcota; Myxococcia; Myxococcales; Myxococcaceae.